UCCAAUUCCCUCAAAAAAAAAAACAAAAAAAAACACUAGUCCAAUCUAAACACAAAACUCCACCGUGUGCCUUCCUUCUCCUUCCUCUCCUACUCUUCAAACACCACCGCAAAAUCGAAAAUCUACCUCAAUCUGUAGCUUUCUAAAUUCCCUCUCACUGUUCAAUCCCUAGAUUUCUAGGGUUUCAGAUCUAUAUUCCCUUUCACCAUUCAAUCCCUAGCUUUUUAGGGUUUUCGAUCUAUUCCUCUUCCUCGUGUUUUUUCUUUGACCAAAAUUAAUGGCUUCAAUCCGAAAGACCCUAUCUCCCCGACCUUCUUAGUGGCGUUAUAGUUUCAGAGAUUAUCUAGCGGCGUUGGUGGCUACGAUAAGGGUUUCAUGGUUGAUCAUGUAAGUUUUAGCUUAAGCAUGAACACUGAGAAGGAAUUAACAGAUUGUAGAUCUGAAUUUAUUGAAGGAUUUUUUCUGGUUUGUGGUUCUAGGUUUGUCUGUUCUUUUUUCUUCUAGAUUGUUUUGUUUGUUUUUGUUGUUGUGGCUGAAUUUUUUAGGUUAAUUUGGUUAUGAGAUAUCGAUUGUUUGGCAAUGAGAUUCUGGCUGAAUUUUUGUGGCUCAAUUUAAUGUUAGGAAGAAGCAUUUUAAUGUUUUAACUCACUGUUAUGCAGGUAUUUUGGUGGGGUUUUUGAAAUCAAGUCAUGUGUGAAUCCACUGAGAUAAGGGAAAACAUCUUCUAGAGUUCUAGCAAACCAUAUUUUGUCAAUCUCAAGUCCUUUUUCAACACCAAAGUAAGCUUAGUUCUUGUGGUUAAAUAAUGUACAUUCCUUUUGUUUGUUUUUUCAAAGAAGGUGCUUGAUGAAAUAUCUACUUAUAAAACUUUGUUUAGGCUAAGCUAUGUUUAUUCUCUAUGAAUUCGAACUUCUAUGUAUCAUGUAAGUAGUGGUAAAGUAUUUCUUUUAAUGUUAAAUUAAAUUAAACUCUGCCUCAAUAUUUUAUUCCUUUGUUGAUAUUGUUAUUUCCCUGCCAUGAGUUCCAACAAUAUAUCUGCCUCACGACCUUCUUGAGAAAUAACAAAAAGAGCACUAAGAUUGCAUAUGUUAUAUGUUACCUAUGAGAAUUCAGAUAGAGCAGACACAACACUCUCAAAAGAAAGAAAUAAUUUUAGUUGGUUAUCAUAUACAUAUACUUAUAUGAUUCCUAAUUCCUAAUGUUAUGGUGCUGCUAUCCGUGUUUUAGCUUGUGGGGAGAUGNNNNNNNNNNNUGGGAUUCUUUCUUUGCGAAACAAGUUUUUUAUUGCUUCAGUCGCAACAGAUUGCUACUUUCUUUGGACGUGGUUUUGCUAUCCAGUUUCAAUUAGGUGCUGCUGUGAUCUGUUGUGUGUUUUGGUAUUGCUAUCCGGGUUGGUUUGUCGAGUAAUUGGAUGUCUAUGACAGUAUUCUUGGAUGCUCUACUAUUUUGUAUUUGAGUUCAAGUUCCCCUUGGUUUAAUUUGGUUUUAUGCUAUUUUGUAUUUUGUGUGGAUGCCAUUAGCUUCUGUUUCUCUCUGGUGUGCGCCCUUUGUGGCCUUGUGNNNNNNNNNNNNNNNNNNNNNNNNNNNNNNNNNNNNNNNNNNNNNGGGAUUGGUUUUAGCGAUGUGCUCCCUUCCCCCUUACAAUGCUAUACAACCUUGGUUUUAGCGAUCAAUAAAAUUUAUAGUUUAAAGAAAAAAUGGUAGAUUGGCAAUUGUAUUUUAACAUAUACUAGUUUAUUGUUCUUGUGAAUAUGAUCGUUUGUUGUUCUUGUAUAGUUAAGAAUAAGAGCAAAUGCAUCAAUUAUUGGAGAACUCAAUUCAAUUGGGUUUGANNNNNNNNNNNNNNNNNNNNNNNNNNNNAAAUAGUUUAUAAGUAGGUUUGUGGUAGUAUGCUAUCUUUGAUUGAUGUAGUUUUGGGUCCUCAUUAUGUUUUUGUUCAGCUAUUGAUUAAUUAAGUUGGUGUAGCAGGUUUUGCAUCGGAGAAAUACGAUGAAAAGGAAUUACGAUCAAAGAAAGGUUGGAAUUGAUAAUGAUCAUUUAAAGAAAGUAACAUAAGGCAUGUUGUAGGUGAUUCUUCGUAUGAUUAAGUAGCCAAGAUUGUGGGGGCAUUGAAAGGAAAUUUACUAUUUUUACAGUUUGCUCAAUUUUAGUUGUAUUUGUAGUUUUGAGAAAAUAUUGUCUUAGUUUGUAUUAAAAAGUCAUGGGAGCAUUAACCAUGACUUUAGGUGUUUUAUAGUUUUUUAUUUGAAUAAGUCUUCAGGUGUUUUAUAGUAGCAGUACAUGUUUGCUANNNN
This 2294-nucleotide long non-coding RNA is filed under the name Trifolium pratense (red clover). Its description in RNAcentral is "long non-coding RNA (TPRA_LNC001085)". Lineage: Eukaryota; Viridiplantae; Streptophyta; Magnoliopsida; Fabales; Fabaceae. The record is from RNAcentral.